GGGGAUGAAGAAUAUCUCCCACAGCGAUCUGUCAACGUCCAGGCGCCGUUGCUCAAGGGGCUGUUUCACAGUGCAGUUAGCCUUUUAGAUUAUAGGAACACGAAGGGGUCCCAGUGGUGCGGCCUUCGCCCGCGUCUCUAGUCCGCGAGUCCGGAGUGUCCGUGUCCACUGGAAGUGAACGCAAAGUCAAACUCUAAGUUUAACCCCCGAGUCUCACCCCCCCCCCCCCGUCGGACAGGGUGUCUCUUAACUCUAAACUUUUAUUACGCAUCAUUUACACUGUUACUUGAUCUUUAAAUCGCUCAAAUAGCGUGCAGUUGGAAGUAUUUUUGUUACCGUUGAUUAGUGAAAAAAAAAUGGUACCAUGUUACCUUUUGUUCGUUACCUUUUGUUUUAUUGUUUUUAUUUUUAUUAUUUGUGUGUGUGUGUGUGUAUUUAGCAUUGACAACUCAAAACAAAAGAAAAUGAUUUCGCCACAUCAAAUAGUUGGUGAGAGAUUUGGUUUUUCUCAUAAAUCUCAAAACUCGUUUCAACCUUCAGUGGGACUUGUGCGUAUUCUACUGUAAAGAAAUGUCAACCACAAUACCAACCCUCUCUAAACGUCUCCCCAAAA
Non-coding RNA from Biomphalaria pfeifferi, 613 nucleotides. The record is from the annotation of a GenBank genome assembly. Lineage: Eukaryota; Metazoa; Mollusca; Gastropoda; Planorbidae.